Molecule: long non-coding RNA, 2059 nt
Organism: Ictalurus punctatus (channel catfish)
Lineage: Eukaryota; Metazoa; Chordata; Actinopteri; Siluriformes; Ictaluridae
Exons: 4
Source: RefSeq, a predicted model, not a curated record
UUUAUUUCUGCAAAAAAAAAUAUUCUGUCUGAAUCUUAACCGACCACUUUCUGACAUCCGUGUGUAGACGGUGACCCGAAAAAAUACUUGGCCUACUACAGAAGAGCCACCGUCUACCUGGCCACGGACAAGUCUAAAUCCGCUUUACCGGAUCUAAGCAAAGUCAUCGAGUGUCAUGAUUCCCCCUUGAAGCAGCGUGAUCUAAGCGCGAAUGCGCGAGCACCUGCUUUUCCAUUGUUGACAGUAGUGACAUCUGGACACGUGUGUUUUGUUUAUGUUUCUGUCAUGUCUCCUCCCUGUUCUGUCAUUGGCUGGGAUUUCACGUGUGUCUGUAUUGCCCUCAGCAAGUUUAGAGGCUGAUCAGUUUAGACGCUGAUCAUGUCCACAUAUAUACCGCGCGCCUCCCAGCACACAACGCGGAAGAUUAUCGUAGAGUUAGAUUGGUUCGUAUGGUACUCAUAGUCACGGUCCAUGUUUAGAGUUCGUUCACGCUGGAUUAUCCGCUCCCAGUUCCUCGUCAUAGUUGAUGUUUCUCGUUUAGUUUAUCGACCCUGUUUUCCGUGACACGACCUUGAUUCAUGUUUAACCCUGUGUAUGCCUGUUUGCCGAUCGCCUGACCUUCGCCUGUUUUGGAUUAUGUUUUGGAUUUGUCUGCCUGUCUCUCUUUUAAAAUAAACAACUGUUCAUACUGCAAUUGCAUCCGUCCUAUCUCCGCUCCGUCACGAUACGUGACAUCGAGUUAAACCUGAUUUCACAUCGGAUAGCCCAGAAGAAGCUCAUUAAAGCCUACUGGAAGUUGUCACAGCAGUGACACCCAGACAACUUCCAGGAUCCUGAAGAGAAGAACAAGGCUGAGAAGAAGUUCAUAGACAUCGCACAGGCCAAGGAAGUGCUCACUGAGCCAGAAACGAGGAGUUCAUUUGACAAGGGUGAAGACCCCCUGGACCCUGAGAGCAAGCACGGAGAAGGCCAUCACCACUUCCAUGGGGCCUGGGAGAGUUUCCAGGGCUUUAACCCUUUUGGCUCUGGACUGUUCAACUUUAAAUUCAACUUUAACUGAGAUCAUCCAGGACGACAUCAGUCUGAUCUGAAUAUAUACCAUCAGGCAUCCAGCGAGAAGUGUAACCUGCUGAACCUAUUUGACACUAACUGCCAUAGAUGUGGCUACAGAAGCCACUGUGGCAUGAAGAUUCAUCGCAUGCUGUUGAAUAUUCUCAGACUUGCCAAGCUGAGCACUUACAGACAUCGUCACAAAGCAUCUGGACUGACAGAUGUAGAUUUAGAUCCCUAUCGAGCAAGCUGGAGGUGAAAAACUCCCCGAGACAUCAUGAAGAAGAAACCUAAGAGAGGAAGCAAACUCAAAAGGGUCCUGUUGACACUGGAUAGUGGGAUUACAAAUCAUUACCAGUAUGCAGAUGUAAUAGAGGAAAAGGCAAACAAAUGUGUUCGUGUCUACAUCCUAGGAUGAGUACAGCAGCAGUUUUUAGCAAGCACAAAUCUGCACUAUCAAGUGUUUUCUGGUUUCUAGCUUAUUGUGAAAUCAGACUACUAAUUAUACCUUGCUUUUGAAGCUAGCCCUUUGUGCACAAAAAUGUAAAAAAUAAAGAGUAGGUAGAACAGGUAGAAUCACUAUCAUCAGGGAGAGCAGAUUAAUAUCUGUACACAUUGAUGCAGUAACAUAACUCCAGACAUGGCAGACGACCACUGAUGAAUGAUAAACAUUUUAUUCCUGAGAAAAUUCCCAUCCUUCCACUUCCAAGCUUAAAAAGAGGAAGAAAAAAAGAAGAAGAAAAAACCCAGGUCAGCAUGGAGUGCCACAAACACAGCAUGGCUUUUUCACUUUAAAGGGCUUGAAAUCAAAUGGAAACACAGGAAUAAUUCAUAAUGUGGAUAAAUAAAUUGAACAUCUUGUGCAUGUGUUGGGGUUACUUUUACACAUGUUCCCCCACUCUGACAUCCUCUCUGAUUUGUUCAAUCAUAUUGUAAUGAUUUUCCAUUUCCUCUUCACUGUAAUGGAGGAAUAACAAGUUACACAUGAUACAAAAAUCAUGUACAGCUU